RNAcentral lists this ribosomal RNA (397 nucleotides) under Rhizobium sp. R-32552. RNAcentral describes it as "bacterial SSU rRNA". It matches the Rfam family "Bacterial small subunit ribosomal RNA", at positions 14 to 441 of the family's 1533-position model. Lineage: Bacteria; Pseudomonadati; Pseudomonadota; Alphaproteobacteria; Hyphomicrobiales; Rhizobiaceae. The record is from RNAcentral.
UGAUCCUGGCUCAGAACGAACGCUGGCGGCAGGCUUAACACAUGCAAGUCGAACGCCCCGCAAGGGGAGUGGCAGACGGGUGAGUAACGCGUGGGAAUCUACCCAUCUCUGCGGAAUAGCUCUGGGAAACUGGAAUUAAUACCGCAUACGCCCUACGGGGGAAAGAUUUAUCGGGGAUGGAUGAGCCCGCGUUGGAUUAGCUAGUUGGUGGGGUAAAGGCCUACCAAGGCGACGAUCCAUAGCUGGUCUGAGAGGAUGAUCAGCCACAUUGGGACUGAGACACGGCCCAAACUCCUACGGGAGGCAGCAGUGGGGAAUAUUGGACAAUGGGCGCAAGCCUGAUCCAGCCAUGCCGCGUGAGUGAUGAAGGCCUUAGGGUUGUAAAGCUCUUUCACCG